GAGUAAUCUGCCCUUGGCUUUGGGAUAGCCACCGGAAACGGUGAUUAAUACCGGAUACGACCACUUCACGCAUGUGAUGGUGGUGGAAAGUUUUUCGGCCAGGGAUGUGCUCGCGGCCUAUCAGCUUGAUGGUGAGGUAAUGGCUCACCAUGGCUUCGACGGGUAGCCGGCCUGAGAGGGUGACCGGUCACACUGGGACUGAGACACGGCCCAAACUCCUACGGGAGGCAGCAGUGGGGAAUAUUGGACAAUGGGCGGAAGCCUGAUCCAGCAACGCCGCGUGAGGGAUGACGGCCUUCGGGUUGUAAACCUCUUUCGGUGGGGACGAAGCGCAAGUGACGGUACCCACUAAAGAAGCACCGGCCAACUACGUGCCAGCAGCCGCGGUAAUACGUAGGGUGCGAGCGUUGUCCGGAAUUAUUGGGCGUAAAGGGCUCGUAGGCGGUUUGUCGCGUCGGGAGUGAAAACGCCGUGCUUAACACGGCGCUUGCUUUCGAUACGGGCAGACUAGAGGUAUUCAGGGGAGAACGGAAUUCCUGGUGUAGCGGUGAAAUGCGCAGAUAUCAGGAGGAACACCGGUGGCGAAGGCGGUUCUCUGGGAAUGACCUGACGCUGAGGAGCGAAAGUGUGGGGAGCGAACAGGAUUAGAUACCCUGGUAGUCCACACCGUAAACGUUGGGCGCUAGGUGUGGGGUCCAUUCCACGGAUUCCGUGCCGCAGCUAACGCAUUAAGCGCCCCGCCUGGGGAGUACGGCCGCAAGGCUAAAACUCAGAGGAAUUGACGGGGGCCCGCACAAGCGGCGGAGCAUGCGGAUUAAUUCGAUGCAACGCGAAGAACCUUACCUGGGUUUGACAUACACCCUG
RNAcentral lists this ribosomal RNA (864 nucleotides) under Nocardioides ganghwensis. RNAcentral's name for it is "bacterial SSU rRNA". It matches the Rfam family "Bacterial small subunit ribosomal RNA", at positions 119 to 995 of the family's 1533-position model. Lineage: Bacteria; Bacillati; Actinomycetota; Actinomycetes; Propionibacteriales; Nocardioidaceae. The record is from RNAcentral.